RNAcentral lists this ribosomal RNA (238 nucleotides) under uncultured bacterium. RNAcentral describes it as "partial 16S ribosomal RNA". It matches the Rfam family "Bacterial small subunit ribosomal RNA", at positions 100 to 334 of the family's 1533-position model. The record is from RNAcentral.
CCGGCACGGGUGGAGUAACACGUAUCCAACCUGCCGUCUACUCUUGGACAGCCUUCUGAAAGGAAGAUUAAUACAAGAUGGCAUCAUGAGUCCGCAUGUUCACAUGAUUAAAGGUAUUCCGGUAGACGAUGGGGAUGCGUUCCAUUAGAUAGUAGGCGGGGUAACGGCCCACCUAGUCUUCGAUGGAUAGGGGUUCUGAGAGGAAGGUCCCCCACAUUGGAACUGAGACACGGUCCAA